CAAAUUUUAAAUCUACCUGGUUUCCAGGUCGAGUUGUAAUUUGAAGAAGUGUUUUUUACUUUCCGGGUUGGGUUAAAUCCUUUGGGAUAAGGUAUCAUGGAGGGUGAGAAUCCCGUGUAUACCAACCGCAGGAUYGUUUAAUAUACACUUUCUAARAGUCGAGUUGUUUGGGAAUGCAGCUCUAAAUGGGUGGUAAAUUUCACCUAAUGCUAAAUAUAAGCGAGAGACCGAUAGCGAACAAGUACCGUGAGGGAAAGAUGAAAAGAACUUUGAAAAGAGAGUUAAAUAGUACGUGAAAUUGUUGAAAGGGAAACGGUURAAGUCAGUCAUGCCGGCGGGAAUCAACUUAGGGGAAACUCUGAGUGCACUUCUUCGCUUGGCAGGUUAGCGUCGAUUUUGGAUGUCAUAAAAUGACUGGGGGAAGGUAGCUCUUUCGGGAGUGUUAAGCCCUURGUAGAUGUGAUGUCYGGGAUCGAGGAUUGCAACGGAUACCYUUUGGGCUARCCGCCUAGUCUCUAAUACGAAGUUGGGUUAUGGACAGCACGCUGACUGUGAUCUGAUUUUCGGUUAAAAGAUUAG
RNAcentral lists this ribosomal RNA (579 nucleotides) under Glomeromycotina sp. Its description in RNAcentral is "eukaryotic LSU rRNA". It matches the Rfam family "Eukaryotic large subunit ribosomal RNA", at positions 110 to 616 of the family's 3401-position model. Lineage: Eukaryota; Fungi; Glomeromycota. The record is from RNAcentral.